GAUGAAGAACGUAGCAAAAUGCGAUAAGUAAUGUGAAUUGCAGAAUUCAGUGAAUCAUCGAAUCUUUGAACGCACAUUGUGCCCGCCAGUAUUCUGGCGGGCAUGCCUGUUCGAGCGUCAUUUCAACCCUCAAGCACAGCUUGGUGUUGGGACUCGCGUUAAUUCGCGUUCCCCAAAUUGAUUGGCGGUCACGUCGAGCUUCCAUAGCGUAGUAGUAAAACCCUCGUUACUGGUAAUCGUCGCGGCCACGCCGUUAAACCCCAACUUCUGAAUGUUGACCUCGGAUCAGGUAGGAAUACCCGCUGAACUUAAGCAUAUCAAUAAGCGGAGGA
RNAcentral lists this unclassified non-coding RNA (332 nucleotides) under soil metagenome. RNAcentral's name for it is "partial contains 5.8S ribosomal RNA, internal transcribed spacer 2, and large subunit ribosomal RNA". The stretch from base 1 to 120 matches the Rfam family "5.8S ribosomal RNA", at positions 35 to 154 of the family's 154-position model. The record is from RNAcentral.